This is a long non-coding RNA of Callithrix jacchus (white-tufted-ear marmoset), 357 nucleotides long. Lineage: Eukaryota; Metazoa; Chordata; Mammalia; Primates; Cebidae. The record is from Ensembl.
AGAAGCCGAAGAUGGCGCUGUGAGAACAACCCAGGAUUGGAGCUCUCUUUGAGUCCGUGGAGAGAGACAAGGUCUUACUUCAUCACCCAGCUUGGAGUUCAGUGGCAUAAUUGCAGCUCACUGCAACCUUCACCUUCCAGGUUCAAGUGGUCUUCCCACCUCAGGCUCCCAAAUAUCUGGGACCACAGGUAUGUACCACUAUGCCCUGCUAUAGAGAUGAAAUCUUACUAUGCUUCUCAGGCUGGUCUCAAACUCCCAGGUUCAAGCCGUCCUCCUGUCUUGGCCUCCCAAAGUGCUGGGAUUAGAGGUGUGAGCCAUUGCAAUCAACCUUCAAUUCCUUUUUAUUUCAUCUUCUAA